RNA transcript from Diospyros lotus (date-plum), 2810 nucleotides. It is a transcript of the gene named pentatricopeptide repeat-containing protein At1g77405-like, with no coding region annotated. The transcript has 3 exons. Lineage: Eukaryota; Viridiplantae; Streptophyta; Magnoliopsida; Ericales; Ebenaceae. The record is from RefSeq and is a predicted model, not a curated record.
UCAAAUAACCAACCGCACAACCUGCUUCUUCGAGGGGUUUCUGAAGAUGUUCCAAACACUUGCCUGUGACUCUUCGGAUUCAUUUAUGACCGCAUAGACAAAGAUCUCGAGAUACCCUUUUGUUUCUCGACUGGCCUAUUGUUUCUCGACUGGCUUCCAAGCAACUCAAGUGCGGAUUCUCGCCUGGCAAUGGAGGACUAGUGGCUCUUUGUUCUCACAGAAUGAUCUCAUCUAAGCCCCUGCUCCGUAGCAACAAUUCUCUUGUAAACCAAGUGUUGUCUGUGAUCAUCCAAAACAGGCCAUUUGAUGCAGAGCUAGCUGCUGCAGCUUCCAAUACUCAAAAUACCAACCAGCCAUGGAGCAUUGAAGCUGUUUCUGAGGUUUUGAGAUCUAUACCCAGAUUACUUUUCCAUUCAACCAGAUCCAUUGGUCGUCAAAAAAGCUUCAGACACUGUGCUCCUCUCAAGCAAAGAAACCUUCGAGACGAAUCUAAUAAAGCUCGAAAAGGUGUUCUUGUUCUUGGUCCAGUUGCACAUAGAGAUCCUCAGAAGGUUAACUUAGGAUUGAAAAAAGCAUUGGAGUUCUACUAUUGGGUUGAGACCUAUUUUGGGUUUACCCAUAAUGCAAUAACUUGCCGAGAGAUGGCUUGUGUAUUGGCUAGAGCCAGUAGACUGAAAGCCCUUUGGGAAUUUCUCAAAGAUAUGGCAAGGAGAGCAAAUGGUGAGCUUGUGACAACUACGACAAUGACAUAUUUGAUCAAAGUUCUUGGAGAAGAGGGAUUAGUUAAUGAAGCAUUAGCUGCAUUCUAUAGGAUGAAGCAAUUUCACUGCAAACCAGAUGUUUAUGCAUAUAACACAAUCAUUUAUGCUCUUUGCAGGAUUGGAAAAUUUAAAAAGGCAAAGUUUUUGUUGGAGCAAAUGGAAUUACCAGGGUUUAGAUGCCCGCCUGAUACAUUCACAUACACAAUCAUGAUUAGUUCUUACUGCAAGUACAGCAUGCAAACUGGGUGCAAAAAGGCCAUUAGGAGGAGGUUGUGGGAAGCAAACCACUUGUUUCGUGCUAUGCUCUUCAAGGGUUUUAUUCCUGAUGUUGUAACUUACAACUGUUUGAUUGAUGGUUGUUGUAAGACAAAUAGAAUUGAGAGAGCCUUAGAAUUGUUUGAUAACAUGAACAAAAAUGGAUGUCUCCCAAACCGGGUCACCUAUAAUUCUUUCAUUAGGUACUACAGUGCUGUUAAUGAGAUUGAUAAGGCUAUUGACAUGUUGCGAAGGAUGCAAAAGAUGGACCAUGGGGUUCCCACUUCAAGUUCAUGUACUCCAAUUAUUCAUGCUCUGUGUGAAGCUGGAAGGAUGUUGGAGGCUAGGGAUUUUCUGGUCGAGCUAGUUGAUAGAGGCUCAGUUCCUAGAGACUAUACAUAUAGCUUAGUUUGUAAGGUGCUGAACACAGCAGGAAAGGAUGAUCUGUUGGAUGAUGAAUUACAUAAAAGAAUUAAGGAUGGCAUUGACAAAAGAUAUAGACAAGUAAUGAAGGUGAAACCAUUGAUGUCAUGCAAAAAUGCAAUUUAACUUGGGGGAAGUUAAGUAAUGGAAUAUUCUUGUCUUCAUGCUCUCCAAAUGUCAAAUGACAAAAGCCUAUAGUGUGAAUCUUUCCCUGCUUGUUAAAUCCUCUUUCAAUUUGUUUCUGCAUGUAAUCUCAUCUUUCAGCUAAAGGGAGAUUAUGAUCUUUUACUGAACUAGCCCUGUCUAUUUUUAUCAAACCUUACUUCCUCUCUGGGGUGGGAAAAUGCUCAACAGUACUGGUUGCAUCUGUGUCACAUAAAGCAUCUGGACCUUGUUUACGUUGCAAUAACCCAUAUCAGUCGAGUAAUUUGGUACUUGGACAUGAUGACAUAAUUGUAAGACUGAAGGGAAGCUGAAUUCAAGUCAGUUUUUUCAAGCAAUAUGAGCUGAAAAACAUUGUGGACUAUCUAGAAAUAUAGUAUCAUUGGCAGAAAGUUUAUGUAAACUAAAGGGCUUGACAGGAAUAUGAAAUGUUGCAGUACACUUGCAUGGAGGCAUAAAUUAUGACAGUAUGUCCUAUUUAUGUUUUGCCUUUUAUCACUUUCUGGAAGGUUUUCUUGACAUAACUCUGUUCGUGCAGAAAAUUUGGGCACGUCUAAUGUUUGAUGCUUAUCAAAUCAUAAGUUUUUCUUUUUCAUUAAAUAGUAUAUUUGUCUAAGAUGAUUUACGCCCUAUUAUCCCGAGUCUUGGUUAACCUUUUACCGCAGCUGUUAGAUAUGAAUCGUGUCUCAGAGUUUUCUUCUAAAAAUGGUGACAUCAGGACCUAAAGUAGAUGGUUGCCUGGGUUGAGGACCAGAUUGAAUAUCCAUUGUGGACCUGGGACACUGGCUGUUGAAAAUGGUGGAUUCUCAUGGCUCAAAGACGAAAUUAGGUUGGACGUCAAAAUCAAACAGCCCCGCUCACUAGCUAAUGCUAUUGGAGUGGCGUGGUUCGACUUUUGGAAGAAUGCAAUGGCUUGCAAAGAAGAGGGGAUAAUUCCUUCAGGUCCUCCAUCCUCAGCACCCCACCCAAGUCAGAGAGCAACAACACUACUGGAGUUUUAGGUCCCUCACCAACGCUUAAGACCGGCAUUGACACCAUUAACAAUGCUAGUUCCCUCAAAGGAAUUACAAGCUAAAAAGCUCGGGAACGUAAGGAAAAAGGCCUAUGUUAUUUCUGUGGUGAGAAAUUCCUUCCAAGACAUCGGUGUCAACGACCUCAACUAUUCAUGCUUGAAAAUAUACUCGACUUCAUCCUUGUGAACAAGGAUAA